This 72-nucleotide transfer RNA is filed under the name Leptomithrax sp. QNL-2021. RNAcentral's name for it is "tRNA-Thr". It matches the Rfam family "tRNA". From Rfam's summary of the family: Transfer RNA (tRNA) molecules are approximately 80 nucleotides in length. Lineage: Eukaryota; Metazoa; Arthropoda; Malacostraca; Decapoda; Majidae. The record is from RNAcentral.
GUUUUGAUAGUUUAAACAAUAAAACUUUGGUCUUGUAAAUCAAAAAUGAACCUUUCUAAUAUUCUCAAAACU